ACCACCGCUCUUAUUUUGGCAAGUCGCACCAACCGGACGUACUACAGUGUUUUCCCGGGCAUGAGAAAAUACAGCUUGAUGCAGGGAGCUGAUGUCCCGCCCGUCUUCAAUUCAAAACCUGCUGAGCAACACUGUCCAGAUCAGAAAUAAUUUAACAAGCAGAGAAAAAGGCAACGUGAAGCGGUUCUUAAGAAGAUUUCUCAUUUCCACAUGAACAGAAGGAGCAGCUUCAGCUCUGCCUGUGGCUGUGAGCUCAGGAGAUGAAGAGGAAAGUGGUGCUGCAGGCCAGGAGGAAACCUCUGUGCCAUAAGAGGCAGCAUCCGCCAGAUCUUCCUACACUUCUCAUAAACCCCCCCUCUCUGUUGGCGUGAGACCACAAGUCGCAACACGGAAACAAAAACCGAGUGACACCAUCGCCCGUCAAACAGUCAACUUUUCAUCAACAUGGACGAUUAUUUUGGUGUCUGUAACCAGAGGUUUAUGAAGUGACAUUUUCAGACCAGCAGUUUACAAGUUUAAAACGGGGUGUGUCAGCAACUAUUUCUGGAGAGCAGAGAGUCUCGGACUGGACCGCUGAAACGGGAUCCGUUCAGCGGCGGGGAAAAUGUGUAGGUGGAGUGAAGGGAGGCGAUGACAGAAAUAAAAAUAAAUAAAUAAAAGAGAAUUGAGAAAAAAAAAUGAAAACAGGUUUUCCAAAACUGUCUACAUCUGGUGGCAUGUUAUCAUCUACUUUAAAAUAACAUUUCUAACUGAAGGCCUGUUGUUCUCUGGUGGAAGUAACCAAAGCGCUUGUUCUCUGAAUAAAACUCAAAUUCCUCAAGUAUAGAUUUAGGUUGUUAUAAUGACCAUAAGUCACUCUUUCAUUGUGAGCAGAGAGAAAACAGAGGGAGAGUAGUCUGACACAAACCAUAGAAACCUAAAAAUGUUCUUGUCCAUUUCAAAUCAGUAAAUCAGUGAUAUUCUAUGCAUUCUUUGAACGUUUCUGCUGCCUCAACUUCAUUAACUGUUCAAUUCCUUAGAAUAGAAACAUUACUCUUGAAGAUAAUUGAAACAUUUGUAAAGUCAUAAUUCUUUGUCAUCUUGUACAACCUGGACAUGGCUGAGCUUGAAUUUUCUUUAGUUGGUGUUUGACCUGAUUAUUUCAGGAGUCAGAGAUCUGGCUCCUCCUCUGGUAACCAGUGAAAGCCAUCUCCAGAGUACUAAACUCACUACAACUCCCAGCAACCCUAGCGCACAGUCCCUGGAAUGCCACUCACCUGACAGAGCCUCACUCAGUGCGAAGUAUUGUUGAGCGUUUCUACCUGGACCUGAUCCUCUGUUUCUGACCCUGAUUAUUCUGAUUCCCUGCCGCCUGCCCUGACCCUAGCUUGGACUCCGACAUCUUCUUGGUUGACCCCACACUGGUGAUUGACCUGAUUCAACUUUGUGGACUUUUAGCUGAACAAAUAAACAUGACAACGGAUGUGAACAAUUCUUUGACUUACAGCAUUCAAAUUUCUGCCACGGCACUAGCGCUCAUCUUCAUCUAUCAAAGGAGACGUUGGCGUCUUAUUCACGUGCUACGUGAGAGCGGCUACAGGUGAAGAGAAUUUGGGAAAUGGUGGAUUUACAGAGGAGCUGUAACAAUUCUGCAUGACAUGCUCAACUUCUGAUGAGCUGUGUACCCAAAACAGCCUGUUCCUAAAAGCGUAGCAGGCCCUAUCCAAGGGGUACCCAAAUCCAGGCCUCGAGGGCCAAUUUCCAAAAUCCUGCCUUAUCUUCUGCUGAUUACCUGGAUCAGGUGUGUUAGGCCAAUAAGGAGCUUCAAUGGCAGGUUGGUUAGAAAACAUGUAGGACUCCGGCCUAGAUUUGGGCACCACUGCCCUGUGUGGUUGUCGGCACGUGGCCCAUUAAUGAUACAAAUUAAUUAAUAAUACAAAAAAUGUGUUUCUAUUGCAGUUCUGCAAAAUGUGUCAAUUUUGAUACGUCUCAAAAAAUCCCUUCUCCAAGUGCAAAAAACGUUUUUUCAAUAUAUAUGAAUUUUUUUGAAAUUGUUGUGUUUCGUUAAGCAAAUUUAUUAUUGCAAAUACAUUUUGCAAUAAUUGCAUUUUACAAAAUGUAAUGUCACUGGGUUUUUAGUGUAUUUAUGUCAAUCAAAUAAACUGAACUGAGUUUGAGUCUAAACCAGGUUUAAGCUUUA
Molecule: long non-coding RNA, 2179 nt
Organism: Oryzias melastigma (Indian medaka)
Lineage: Eukaryota; Metazoa; Chordata; Actinopteri; Beloniformes; Adrianichthyidae
Exons: 3
Source: RefSeq, a predicted model, not a curated record